This 929-nucleotide unclassified non-coding RNA is filed under the name Caenorhabditis elegans. Its description in RNAcentral is "Non-coding transcript of protein-coding gene C50H2.4b". The record is from RNAcentral. Lineage: Eukaryota; Metazoa; Nematoda; Chromadorea; Rhabditida; Rhabditidae.
AUGGAAAUUAUUUCGGGUAUUAAAGCUAUUCCAAUGGAAGUCAUCACAAGAAUGGACCCCAGUGAACUCUUCAAUCAAGUUGAACUUCUUGGUCGUGAAGCAAUGCUCACAAAAUCCGACGAUUUGAAAUCUUAUUUGAUGCAGUUACACGAUGAACUCAAAGAAAUCGUCGACAUUGAUCACAUACAAAUUCUUGGAAAAUUGCAAGCCAUCCUUUGUUUUCUAAAUUUGAAGUAUUCGGACGGUCUAACAAUUUUGGCUCAUGGAUUCUACGAUGAGAAGCACCAUACAUUUCUCCAACAGCUCUACGUCAGAAUUGAAGAAGACAAGAAUGGAAAAAACGUUAAAGAGCAAGAGUAUUGUCCCUUUCCACCGUCGAUUGACCCAAAAGGAAAAGAUGGGUUGCCGAACAGUUUAUCCAAAUUUUUUCGUGAUUAUUAUUUCAAAAGACGACUUUUGAAAAAACGCUUUGAUAUCAAGAGUGUCUCUGAGCAAACCGGAUUGCGUCAAGAUUUCAUAGAAGCAAGAUUCGAAGAGCACCGAAAAUCGAUUUCAAAACCUCGUCAUAGGAGCCUCAAAGAUAGAAGAAGCACCGACACAAAAGACAAAACUUACUGCAACAGUGACAAAAACGGCUGUAUUGAAUCAAAAUAUCCCGCUGAGCUGAAAUCAAAAGGUUCCGACGUUCAUCUACUGCUGGAAAAUAGUCAUGACUGCUUUUUCGAUGUCUGCCAAUGUUCCCGAAAAUUCAGUAGAUGGAUACACUCUUCAGCAACUCUCCACUCUGAUCGAAACUUUAAGUCAUGAGGCGAUCACCCAACAAUCGGUGUCCGCAGAAAAUGCAUUGACGUUACUCCAUUAUCGACUAUCAAAGAUUAUGGAAUUGGGACAUGUACAACUUCUUGGGAAAACGCAGGCGGUUCUUUGUU